UACGAAGGGGGCUAGCGUUGUUCGGAAUUACUGGGCGUAAAGCGUGCGCAGGCGGUUUGGUAAGACAGAUGUGAAAUCCCCGGGCUUAACCUGGGAAUUGCAUUUGUGACUGCCCGGCUAGAGUGUGUCAGAGGGGGGUAGAAUUCCACGUGUAGCAGUGAAAUGCGUAGAUAUGUGGAGGAAUACCGAUGGCGAAGGCAGCCCCCUGGGAUAACACUGACGCUCAUGCACGAAAGCGUGGGGAGCAAACAGG
This 253-nucleotide ribosomal RNA is filed under the name uncultured bacterium. Its description in RNAcentral is "partial 16S ribosomal RNA". It matches the Rfam family "Bacterial small subunit ribosomal RNA", at positions 524 to 776 of the family's 1533-position model. The record is from RNAcentral.